Molecule: long non-coding RNA, 339 nt
Filed under: Mytilus galloprovincialis (Mediterranean mussel)
Lineage: Eukaryota; Metazoa; Mollusca; Bivalvia; Mytilida; Mytilidae
Source: RNAcentral
UGGUAUUUGCUUUCAAUAUAUACAGAAUAAUACGUAUAAAUCAGUUUGCUAUGGUGGUAAAUGUAACCCAUUUCACAUGAGCCUGGAUUUAAAUCUUGUGUUUUUCUCUAAUGCAAUUUUUAAGAUGACUUUAUACAACACUAACCUCCGAUACGUUCAUACUUACCUUGUCUUACAAAAAAUGCUAAAACUAGAAAACAACUAAAAUGGUGUAAGUAAAAAUUUAAAAAAUGACAGACUAGAUAUAGACACAGAAGAAAACAACACUCUCUCUCUGCUCAGUUGAAAUUUAUUUUUUAACAGUGUCUACAUUCGAAUUGUACCCAUUUUUUGGGAAUG